GUGUAGAUGGAAGAAAAGUGAGCUGAGACUGAGAAGAUCGAGUGUAAUUCACUCCAACCACCUCUCUGCAACAAGAACCAGAAUUCCCACAUCGAGCUCAGUGGUCUUCCAUUUGAUUCUUGUAGUGACAGGGAUCUCACUCCGUUCUGAGAGAAUACUGUUUCAGUUUAUUCCACACAUUGGACUUAAAUCCUACUUCCUGCGUCUUCUGCUAUCAAGUGUUUCAUAUCCUGUAACCAUAAAAGACGCCCCCCCAUCUUUUCUGGAUAACAACUUAAAAGUUAAAUAACCCGAUCUAUUUAUAAGUAUCAGUUAUACACAAAUGCUUUUAAAGUGUUUUGUCUUCGUUUAUAAAACACAGAAGAGUUAUUAUUGAGGUUUAAUACCAAAUUCAGAAGCAACAUGUGAAUUGGUCUCUCUCAGAAUAUUACUGCAUUUUGUACAUGGGAUCAACCCUGGGCAGUUUGGGCAAGAACAUCUUUAACAGACAGCCAAAUCUCAGAGCAAAGAAAACCCAGGCUAG
Molecule: long non-coding RNA, 523 nt
Filed under: Mus pahari (shrew mouse)
Lineage: Eukaryota; Metazoa; Chordata; Mammalia; Rodentia; Muridae
Description: lncRNA (MGP_PahariEiJ_G0002864.1)
Source: RNAcentral